RNAcentral lists this ribosomal RNA (266 nucleotides) under uncultured bacterium. RNAcentral's name for it is "partial 16S ribosomal RNA". It matches the Rfam family "Bacterial small subunit ribosomal RNA", at positions 793 to 1055 of the family's 1533-position model. The record is from RNAcentral.
GUCCACGCCGUAAACGAUGAGUACUGGGUGUCGCGGGUAGUUGACCCCUGCGGUGCCGUAGCUAACGCGUUAAGUACUCCGCCUGGGGAUUACGGUCGCAAGAUUAAAACUCAAAGGAAUUGACGGGGGCCCGCACAAGCGGUGGAGCAUGUGGUUUAAUUCGACGCAACGCGAAGAACCUUACCUGGGCUAGACAACGGUGGACCGCCCCAGAGAUGGGGCUUUCCCUUCGGGGACUGCCGGUUCAGGUGCUGCAUGGCUGUCGU